GAUGAACGCUGGCGGCGUGCCUAAUACAUGCAAGUCGAGCGAACAGACGAGGAGCUUGCUCCUCUGACGUUAGCGGCGGACGGGUGAGUAACACGUGGAUAACCUACCUAUAAGACUGGGAUAACUUCGGGAAACCGGAGCUAAUACCGGAUAAUAUAUUGAACCGCAUGGUUCAAUAGUGAAAGACGGUUUUGCUGUCACUUAUAGAUGGAUCCGCGCCGCAUUAGCUAGUUGGUAAGGUAACGGCUUACCAAGGCAACGAUGCGUAGCCGACCUGAGAGGGGGAUCGGCCACACUGGAGCUGAGACGCGGUCCAGACUCCUACGGGAGGGAGCAGUAGGGUACCGUCCGCAAUAGGCGGAAGCCUGGCGGAGCAACGCCGCGUGAGUGAUGGAGGUCUUCGGAUCGUAAAACUCUGUUAUUAGGGAAGAACAAAUGUGUAAGUAACUAUGCACGUCUUGACGGUACCUAAUCAGAAAGCCACGGCUAACUACGUG
This 497-nucleotide ribosomal RNA is filed under the name uncultured bacterium. RNAcentral describes it as "partial 16S ribosomal RNA". It matches the Rfam family "Bacterial small subunit ribosomal RNA", at positions 28 to 507 of the family's 1533-position model. The record is from RNAcentral.